RNAcentral lists this unclassified non-coding RNA (215 nucleotides) under Hevea brasiliensis (rubber tree). The record is from RNAcentral. Lineage: Eukaryota; Viridiplantae; Streptophyta; Magnoliopsida; Malpighiales; Euphorbiaceae.
UCAAAAUCUCUAGUGCAUUGCUAGCCUUCUGAAUGAUACUAGACUCAGGAACAACUUCAGGUUCUGCUUGCUGAGCAACCACAUCCUGUCUAGCAGCAGCAAGUUCUCCAUUAAGUGUACUUUUUUUCUUUACUUGUGAAGCAGGAUUAUUUGCUUGUGUUGCCUGAGGCCUUUGGGGAAAUUGUACUCCUGCACUCACCAAAUCAUAAUACGCA